ACGCUGGCGGCGUGCUUAAUACAUGCAAGUCAACGACUUUUAGAGUAGCAAUAUUCUAAAGGAAGUGGCGCACGGGUGAGUAACACGUAGGUAAUCUGCCUUCAGGACUGACACAACUCGUCGAAAGACGGGCUAAUAUCAGAUAAUGCAGCGGCUCCGCAUGGAGACAGUUGUUAAAGUACAAGCGCCUGAAGAUGAGCCUGCGGUCCGUUAGCUAGUUGGUAGAGUAACAGCCUACCAAGGCAACGAUGGAUAGCUGGUCUGAGAGGAUGAUCAGCCACACUGGAACUGAGACACGGUCCAGACUCCUACGGGAGGCAGCAGUAAGGAAUAUUGCUCAAUGGCCGAAAGGCUGAAGCAGCAACGCCGCGUGAAGGAUGAAUGGCCUUUGGCCUGUAAACUUCUGUAAAAGGGAAAACAAUCAGGCAUGUCCUGAUUUGAUUGUACCUUUGAAGUAAGCCCCGGCUAACUACGUG
This 476-nucleotide ribosomal RNA is filed under the name uncultured bacterium. RNAcentral describes it as "bacterial SSU rRNA". It matches the Rfam family "Bacterial small subunit ribosomal RNA", at positions 33 to 507 of the family's 1533-position model. The record is from RNAcentral.